This 417-nucleotide ribosomal RNA is filed under the name Salmonella enterica subsp. enterica serovar Enteritidis. Its description in RNAcentral is "partial 23S ribosomal RNA". It matches the Rfam family "Bacterial large subunit ribosomal RNA", at positions 139 to 595 of the family's 2925-position model. The record is from RNAcentral. Lineage: Bacteria; Pseudomonadati; Pseudomonadota; Gammaproteobacteria; Enterobacterales; Enterobacteriaceae.
UUCGUCACACUAUCAUUAACUGAAUCCAUAGGUUAAUGAGGCGAACCGGGGGAACUGAAACAUCUAAGUACCCCGAGGAAAAGAAAUCAACCGAGAUUCCCCCAGUAGCGGCGAGCGAACGGGGAGGAGCCCAGAGCCUGAAUCAGCAUGUGUGUUAGUGGAAGCGUCUGGAAAGGCGCGCGAUACAGGGUGACAGCCCCGUACACAAAAGCGCAUGUGCUGUGAGCUCGAUGAGUAGGGCGGGACACGUGGUAUCCUGUCUGAAUAUGGGGGGACCAUCCUCCAAGGCUAAAUACUCCUGACUGACCGAUAGUGAACCAGUACCGUGAGGGAAAGGCGAAAAGAACCCCGGCGAGGGGAGUGAAAAAGAACCUGAAACCGUGUACGUACAAGCAGUGGGAGCACCCUUUGGGUGUG